UACGUAGGGUGCAAGCGUUGUCCGGAAUUAUUGGGCGUAAAGAGCUCGUAGGCGGUCUGUCACGUCGGCUGUGAAAUCCCGAGGCUCAAACCUCGGGGUCUGCAGUCGAUACGGGGCAAACUAGAGUAUUGCAGGGGAGACUGGAAUUCCUGGUGUAGCGGUGAAAUGCGCAGAUAUCAGGAGGAACACCGGUGGCGAAGGCGGGUCUCUGGGCAAUAACUGACGUGAGGAGCGA
Molecule: ribosomal RNA, 235 nt
Filed under: uncultured bacterium
Lineage: Bacteria
Description: partial 16S ribosomal RNA
Rfam family: Bacterial small subunit ribosomal RNA
Source: RNAcentral